Molecule: ribosomal RNA, 253 nt
Filed under: uncultured bacterium
Lineage: Bacteria
Description: partial 16S ribosomal RNA
Rfam family: Bacterial small subunit ribosomal RNA
Source: RNAcentral
UACGAAGGGGGCUAGCGUUGCUCGGAAUCACUGGGCGUAAAGCGCACGUAGGCGGAUUGCUAAGUCAGGGGUGAAAUCCUGGAGCUCAACUCCAGAACUGCCUUUGAUACUGGCAACCUUGAGUCCGGGAGAGGUGAGUGGAACUGCGAGUGUAGAGGUGAAAUUCGUAGAUAUUCGCAAGAACACCAGUGGCGAAGGCGGCUCACUGGUCCGGUACUGACGCUGAGGUGCGAAAGCGUGGGGAGCAAACAGG